CAACAGGACACAUAAACUGUUAGUGCCUUGUCUGGAACAAGGAAAGUGGUCAAUAAAUGUAGUUUCUUUCAGAAGCAGAAGGAAAAGCUGUGUUUCAGGAAUGGUUUCAUGUCAGUAAAAACAAUUAUAGAUGACCUUCAUAGUUCCAGGCACAGUUAGAGAUACGGAGCUACACCUGUCCCAACUAUCAGAGUAGAAUCCAGCAAGGGUCUGAGCUGUGUGGCCCAAAUAGCCACCACCCAAAGCUCUGCAUGAUAAAGGCUGUGAGAAUUGCGAGCCCGACGUACCAGGGGAGUUCAGAGAAGGGAGCGAUUUCAAUUUUCUUUGAGUAUUGACUUGCUACUGCAUGGUAACUGUAGUAUCUUCUAAGAAUGACAGUCAGGGCUAAUGAAUCACUCCAUUUAGCUGUGGCAACAGCAAGGCAAAGAAAUAUCUUCAAGGGCCCAGACAUUAUUUUUCCAGCCUUGUUCCAGGGAUAUAACGUGCUUAGAAGUUAUGACAAAUUAGCUGCUGGUGGCAAAUCUACGUGGAACCUUCCUAAAAAAUGGAAGUUCCGUCCUGAGUUAAUGGGUUGUUAUUGGCAAGGGAAAUAAAAUUUGAUAAGGAGGGUGGGUCCUGGCAUGGAAGGACCUUCAAAAGCAGCAGAAGAUUUUACAUUUGACUCAGGAAGCCCAGGGAUGAGCAAAUGGGAGAGGCAUGGACCAGACCUCCAUUGAGUCACAGGCCAUUUCUGUAUUUCAGUGUCCCAACAGUCAGUUUACGCAUGAAGGCUGAGGGCACUGUCCCCAGACCAUUGUACAGGGUAAGGGAAAAGAAGUAAAGGAGACUUAAUUUUUUAAAAAAGAAACUAUAGAUGUGAGGAGAAUGCUAUUUUUUAACCAUGCUAAUUUUUUUUAUUGCCAAUCUUGUCUUCCUAGGAUGGAACAUCUCUUAAUUUCAUGCUGCCAUGUUUGUGCUUCCAGGUACCUGAGGUACAUUCAGAAAGGCCAGACUCUGGGUUCCUUCUGGCAUUGGGAGGAAGAAGGCAUCCCGGAAAUCAAGACUCUGAACACAUCUUCCUCAAGUACAUCCUACCUAAAGGAAACUCUUGCUUGGCACUGUUGGUUGUUCUGAAAGAAGAGAAAAUCCAGCAAACCACUGACCAUUUCAUUUUGCUGGCCAUAGUUGCAGCACUUUCAUACCUGCAGAACUCACUGGGGUUAUGCUAGAACAAGAGCUGAGCUACAGACUCCUGUUCCUAUUUUCGUUUUGUGUCCUACUGAGCCCUCCCUGUGUUACCAUCCCUGGGACCACCCACUGGACAGAUAUUGUACAACCCAAUAGGAAAUUCCCAACACCCAUCUUGGAGGUAAAGGGCCAUCAGUGCUGAUUGUAGGAAUGCCAUUUCUUCCCUGCCCUUUCAAUAAAGGGGCACUCCCAAAGACA
Molecule: long non-coding RNA, 1425 nt
Filed under: Sus scrofa (pig)
Lineage: Eukaryota; Metazoa; Chordata; Mammalia; Artiodactyla; Suidae
Description: lncRNA (ENSSSCG00065072015.1)
Source: RNAcentral